GGAAUUGCAUGGUAACAGAGAGGACAUGACUGUAUAUAAUGCAAAAGGGUAUUGGAAAUGUCAGUUGACUUAGGGAAAAAAGUCAACAACUAGGAUAUACCUGGGAAAUUGCUUAGCUCAGAUGCUUGAUUGUCGUUUACUAAAGAAUUUUAGGUCAGGGAUCCAUGAACUGCAGGAAUUCUGUUCACAUCUAAGUUGGACACGCAAUUGCUAAGCCUUGAGCUCAAAUGCUCAAGGGCACGUUUUUAGCUGCUUGUCAACUUCCAUGUUCACCAAGUAACACAGUUCUGCAACUUUCAUUAACAAAAUCAUUGUGGACUCUCUUACACAGGCCUUCUCUACAAGCAGAUGUCUACAUUUCACUCGUUUGAUUGAAGAGAGCCUUUGUAGCGGCUGGGUGUUCCAUCAGCCGCUCCUUAUCUGCCCCUCUCAACUCAACCAUCAAUCCAGUUCCAUCAUUUCGGUUGGUGUCCUUUGCCUCUUUCUCAUUCACAAAAGUAUUUGUUUUACUCAAUCAACUCAUUCCAACAAUAGUGGAUCAUCAUAGCAAUUGCAUUUUAAUAGCAAAAAACAAAAUAACAAUAAAAGAAAUAAUAUAAAUUAGUGUGAUACAUGCAUUACAUCAGUCAUAAUAUGAAAAGAAUAGAUAAGAAAGUGCAAAGAUUUCCUCAUAGAUCAUAAAACAAUAUCUUCUCCAAGACAGGAACUCCUGCCAGAUAAUAUUAAUUAUGUCAACAUAUCAUGCAUGUUAACAUAUACAGGGAAGUUGUCAGAACUUGGGAGAAACAUGUUCUUCUGGUAAUAUAAAAGAUGAGCAAUAGAUUCUUAGAUCUUUUAUAACCAAUAGAUCAGGAGUUCUGUGAUCUCAAUUUUUUAGAUUUUUCUACAGCCUAGAGAUAGGAUACGUAUGCAUUAUGCAUUUUAGGCCUUUUAGUUACCUAGAAUAGAUCCAAAUUGCCAGCUUUUUGUACAUGUAACAAUAGCCACCCUUGAUUCAAAAAAUUUCAAUAAAUGAGAUAAGAUAACAAUGAUAUGUGAAUGUUGAACUUUCUCAAGUCUCAACCUUCUGAAUGUUUGAAAAGUAUGUACUAGUGAAAAAUCAAAAAGCAGCCUGUGAUGAAAGCUAUAAAAUAUAACAUUUAGCUGCUAUAUGUUGAGGCAGGCAAGAGAAGAUUUAAGAGUCCUAUUUGUUUAGACAUUAGCAUAUAGAGACAUCAUAAGUACAAUCUAGACCUAGCUAGCAUUCAAUAUGAAUAUAGAAAUUUGAAAGCACAGGUUUGAAGAACCUACUACCGAGAGCAUUCAAUAUGAAUAUAGAAAUUUGAAAGCACCAUCAUCAGCCAGGGGCAAGAAGCCUUUGUGGGGGGGAGGAGCAUUUCAGAUAAUAUUUUGCUAGUCCAGGAGAUGAUGGUGGAUUUACAGUGAGCCUCGAGGAGACGAUGUUUGAUGGCUGUGAAGCUGGAUAUGGAGCGCGCUUAUGAUCGGAUCCGGUGGGAUUUUCUUCGGCGAGCGCUUGAGAGCUUCGGAUUUCAUCAACUUUGGAUUGAUUGGGUUCUAGGAUGCGUGCAGGGGCCUAGCUUUUCCAAUUUGGACAACGGCACGCCGUCGCCCUUCUUUCGAGCUACUAUGGGGCUUCGCCAGGGAUGUCCUCUGUCUCCGUAUAUAUUUAUCAUUUGCUCUGAUGUACUUUUCCGUGCUUUGCAUGCAGCCUGUGGGAACCGGGAGUUGGCAUCCUACUGUCCAGCCCCAGCGUCCGGCCCAUUUCUCACUUGCUUUUCGCAGACGAUUGCCUCCUACUUGCUAGGGCGAGAGCAACGGAUGCGAGAGCCCUACAGGGGGUGUUGACAAAGUAUUGCGCGAUGUCCGGGCAGAGAGUCAACCUCCAAAAGUCAGCCAUAUACUUCAGUCCGAGCAUGGAGCGGAGGGUGCGACGGGAGGUCAGGGCGAUUCUGGGGAUGCAAGAACAGGUGGGGCCCCUGGUCUAUCUUGGGAUUCCCCUCACAGGAAGGAGGUUGUGGGUGGAGUGUUCUACCCUAGUGGACAUGGUGCGGAGCAGGCUAGAGGGAUGGAGGGCAUCAUCACUUUCCAUGAUGGGUAGAUUGACGCUGAUUAGGUCAGUUCUGUGCUCCAUGCCAAUCUAUCUGAUGGCACACACUGUUGUGCCAAAGACGGUGUUGCUGGGGAUUGAGCGGCUUAUACGGAGCUUCCUUUAGGGCUCCUUGGGGGGGCCAUGGGGUACCUGGUGGCCUGAGAGCGUGUAUGUCAGCCACUGCAUGAGGGUGGUUUGAGGGUGCCAUCACUGGUGGAGAAGCGUGAGGCACUCCUGGAACGGCGGGCAGUGCAGUUCGUAUUGGAGCCGCAUGGAUUUUGGAGUCAGAUCAUGACGACUAGAUAUGGCCGAGCAGGGUUUGGGGGGCAGGCGAGGGGUGGCCGGAGGUUCUUUAUGUGGCGAGAGAUUGGGGGAUACUUACCUUUGGCCCUGGCGCACUCCAUGUGGCUAAUCAGCGACGGACAGAGCAUUGAUGUGAUGGACCCGUGGGUGGGCACUUUCAUUGAGACAGUGGCCGACGAUGGUCAGCGGUGAGGGGGAGAUAGGGCUUCGGGUGUGUGACCUUCUCAGGCCAAGGGCGGCGGAGUGGGAUGGCGAUAGACUGGGCCAGUUGUUUGGAGAGCAUUUGGAGCACUACUUGUAGAGCUAGAGUCGGAAUCGGCGAUAUUUCUCAGAUUCUUCAGCAGGAGUCAGAGCCGGGCUUAGACUGUCACUGGGUGUGGGGGUUUGGGCUACAUCAGAGGAUUGCUCCUUUCCUCUGGAAGGUGGCCUGAGAGCGCGCCUGCCGACUUGCUCAGAGUUGAGCAGACGAGGAGUGAGCAUCUCUCCCCUAUGUCUGGAUUGUGGGGUGGACGAGUCGGUGGAUCAUAUGUUAUUCCAGUGUAUGUGGGCGAGGGAUGCUUAGAGCCUGCCAGGGAUCCCGGAAGAUGCUUGGAGUCGAAGGGAUUGUUUUCUCGAGGAGGUUCGGCGAUGGUCUGGUAUCCCCUAGAUGCGUCCCGUGGCUAUUAGGGCAACUUGUACAGCUUAUCAAGUAUGACUAGCCAGGAACAUCCGGAUAUUUGGUAAGUCCAGUCCGUCCUCGCAUUUCGUCAUAGAGCGAGCUCGUGCACAGGCAGCAGAGAUCAUCCAUGUUGAUCUAGACCAUAGACUGUUGAUAGCUCAGGAUAUCUGGAGCCCCCACAUUGCUUCAGCAGUUCCUCAUAGGGUAUUCUUUACCCGGGAGCCCCCACCUCCGAGUUUUCUCAAGGUCAAUUUUGACAGCUUAGUAUCGGAUGGAGGUAGGAGGAGAGGGGUUGGCUUCGUCAUCAGGAGCCCGAGCUCCAGAGUGGUAGCAACGGAGGGCUGUCAGAUUUUUGAUACCUCGGCUCCUGGCGCAGAGCUGCAGGCGGCCUGGAUAAGUAUGUGUUACGUACGACGGGUGCUUCAGGCAACUUCAGUACUACUGAAGGGUGAUCAGCUGGGUCCAACAGGGUCCAAGCAGUGACGGAGGAGUUCAUCUCCUAUUCCGCGAUAUUUGGAUGAAGGUGAGAGUGUUGCAUUUUAGGCUAUGCAUGUAUAUUGUGAAGCUAAUGGGGCGGCCGACUGGAUGGCCACAUUUGUAGCGAGCCACUCAGGAGGCACCCUAUGGACUGAGGGUGAGAUGCCCAGAGUACUUCGGGACCUUUUAUUUUCUGAUUCCAUUGGGUGUAUUCGUACCCGUGAUGUAUGAAAUGCUUGUUUCAGCAAAAAAAAAAAGGUUUGAAUGGUAAUAAUGCAUGAAAACUUCAAACAACCAAAAAAAAGCUGCAUGCCACUAUGAUGCUCCUGGUGCCUAUAAGGAGACUCAUAGAGCCAGUUGAGGUAGGAUCCUAGGUAAACAAGGAAACCAUCUCUAGGAAGGAACUGAAGUCUACCAAUAUACAAGUCAUAAAAUAAUAAAGAAGACCUUAUUGAAAAAGGAUAUUUUGCUAAUUAAGGAAAACCACCUUGUAAAUAGAAGUUCAACAAUAAUCCAUUUCAUGCAUAUAACUUCCCUACAACUUACUCGCACAUAAGGAGUAAAAGCCAGCUACGGCAAUUGGCAUGGGCCAGCACACUUGGACUGAUCUAAUCAAGAAGAGAAGGAAACAAUUCCUUCAAGUCAUUUAAUUUGGACCUCUCAAAGAAAAUACUAAUGAAAUAAUGGAGUGGCUAGACUAGGGACUACCAAACCAUCCCGACCGAGCAAUUCGAGGUAUAUCAAACCUACCAGCUGGUAACUGGGAUGAUUCGGUCGAUCGAUCCGGUCUCAAAUCAAAGGCUUCAUUUAACUAAAAAGCGGAUCACCUUGCGUCUCUCCUCAAUCGCGAUCUCUUCCGAAUUCUCUCCCCUCUCUCUCCCUCCAAAUCCAUCUCUUCCCUCUCCCCUCUCUCCUUCUCUCUCAAUCUUUCUCUCGUUUCUUCCCUCUCUCCUGAUCCACCAUACCGACUAUGAUCAUGUUGAUGUCGAUGCGACGACAACUACGGCUAAGGUUAGUUAGGGUUCCGCAUUAGCGCAAGAACACUGCAGCCACCGCCUCCUCUUUUAGCUAUGAUGAAGAUCCUCCGCUGCCGCCUCCACCAUCUUGUCUCCGCUGCCUUCGGCCCCUAUCCUCCUCUAUAUUGGCACCUCCAUAAGGCUGGGUGAAUCCCCUCUCUCUCCCCUCCUCCCUCUCUCUAAUUUCAAUGUGUAUCAGAUCGGUAUGGUAUGCACCGAUAUCGUACCGAACUAUUCUCCGACCAGCACGUCCUCCAAUACCACUUCAGUGAACCUUGGGCCAGACUCCUUUUGAUUUCAUUAAUUGAAUAAUAAAACUGAUUACAACUUGUCUUAUUUAUAUUAGUGAGGUCCAAGUUCCCAAAUUUGAUUCAAAUUCCUUUUCUACUUAAAAGAGGAUAGAAUUUUUCUAAAUUAGUUAAGGAAUUUGUGCUAAGUUGAAAGCCAUCCUAGAGAUAUCUCUAGAUUCUUACAUUAAAUUUGCCGUUUGCUACAUCGCCUAAUUCCUCCAAGAUUGGAAGAUGCACCAUCAAAAUCUUACCUGAAGAGGAUGCUUUUACUUUGAUCGGCCCACUUCAAGGCUUAAAACAUCAUAGCACCCCAACAUUAGUAGGGUGCAAUGAACCCUUAAGGUUUCCACAUCCAUGUAAAACUCAAAAAAGUUACCCAAUUUCAAAAAAAGAUCAUUAUAAAAAGGAUGUCGUAUGGGGAAGUUAUGGCAGAUCUUACUCCCAAACUUUAUCCAAACCUAGCCGAAGUGAUCAAACUGGUCCACAAUGGAUCCAAUGAUCCUCCUAGGUCAUGGACCAAUAUGUGGCACAUCUAUGUGCCAAUGCAUGGGGUUCAAUGCAUGCCAAGCAUUUGAAUAGCACAAUAUGUGCUGUGUUGGAACCAAAUCAACACUAUACCAAUGCAUGACACUUAAGAAUUAAAACCAAACAUCCAUCGCUACUAGAAUGGGGAACUCUUUGAUAGAAUUUUUGGUUCCACACUAGAAUCUUCACUUAAAUGAAGUCACCUAGCCUCUUAUGAAAUGCUUAUCAAAACUAAACGUAGUUGGAGAAAAGUCUCUUACACCUUUAGAACUCCUUUCUAAUUCAUAUAGUACUGAAUUACAAUAAGGAAAAUAAAUGAAACAAUUAAAAACAACUUUUCUAAGCCUAAUAGCUUGACUAAAGACCUUUCCUAAUAGAGAAAACUAUGAAAAAAUAAAACAAAAAGUUUUUAAAAUUCAUUUCUAAUUCAAAGUAGCCAAGGAAAGGCAAAGUCAUAACUACGUACAAUCCUGUCGACAAAUUUCAACAAAGUAGCCUUUCACUAAGAUGACCAUAUGCCCCUCAUUUAAGUUCUGAUUAACAUGAUUCAAGAUUGCAUUGGCAAGUUGUUUUGAUGCUAAAUACGAUAGAAGUAUUUUGAUUUUAUAAUUCAGCUAGCUUUAGUAAGCAUUCUUUUGGAUUAUGGUGUAUGAAGUUGAUCUUUGAAAGGCUAGCAUUGGAAAGUUGUUUUGAUGCUUAAUACGAUAGAAGUACUUUGAUUUUAUAAUUCAGCUAGCUUUAGUAAGCAUUCUUUUGGAUUAUGGUGUAUGAAGUUGAUCUUUGAAAGGCAGCUAAUCUAUGGUAUAUUUUUCUCAACUAAAACAGCAAUACGUCAACAUUGGUGAGCUAAGGGUCUAACAAGUGAUGCCUGACAACUUUGGUAACUGAUAGAUUCAAUGUGGUCUCAAAGCCAUUAUGAAACCAAUGUUGUUGUGGACCUCUUUUUGGACUCUAAAGCCCUCUUUGGUUCUAGCUUCAUCUCUAGCAUGGAUUAGUAGCAUGUAGAGGACCCUUCACUCACAUCAAACUCCCUGGCUUUAAAAUUUGUCUUUUGAUGAAUUAUUGUGGAAUAAGAUUUGAGAGCUAGCCUUAGCGCAAUAAAAAGAUUCCUCCAUUAUGACCUAGAUGUCACAAAUUCGAAAAAUGGAAACAACCUCUCCCCACGCAACAGUAAGGUUGCGCAAAUCAAACCAUCCCCAGACCCUAGUGUUGGGAAUCUUGUGUACUAGGGAACCCUUUUAGGAUAUGAUGGUCUUUCAACAUGCUUGUGUCAAACACUUCACUAUCAUCAGCUUUCAUGUGUUCCAUCGCUUUCUUGUCCUUUUCCCAUGAUACUUUUGGAUCUAAGCCUUCUCUAUCACAAGCUUUCAGCAUAAUUUCAUUAAUAUAUGGAUUUUGUUUUGAUUCUGGGGUAGUUUUAUACACUUUGAUAGGAAGAAGAUUUUGAUGUAAAUCAUCACUCAACUACGGAGUCAUGCCAUCCGCUCAUAUGGAUUAUUAUUCACGUUGCCUCCACUGCUACCCAAGGAUUGCCGAACCGGUAUCGGGUGCUGUACCGAUCGGCGCCCGGUCCGGUUCGGAUCGGACCGAAUCGAUAUCGAACUGGUCCGUCAAAAAUGCUGCAGCGCGCGCUAUGGCAAAUCUAACUGGAUUCGGUGCAAACCAACUGGUUCGCACCGAGUUCUGGCUGAACUGGACGGAACCGGUCCAGUCCCGUCCGGUUCGCUUUUGUACGAGGCCAGAACCAUUUUAUAUGUCCGAACCGACCCGGUUAUAGACCGGGUCGACUCAGUUCGGCCCGGUUCGGCAUUCCUUACUGUGAUCUUUAUUCUUUUUGGGAUAGUUUUAUACCCUUCGAUAGAAAGAUUUCGAUGUAAAUCAUCACUCAACUACGGAGUCGGCUUCUUGCCAUCCUCUCUUAUGGAUUGUUAUCCAUGUUGCCUCCACCCUCACCCUUAUUCUUAUGAAUCGAUACUAUAGUGUUCUUCCUCCAAUCAUCAGGUAUUUUCCUAGUGUUUAAAAUUUUAUUAAACAAAUCUCCAUAGAGAUUUCAUUAGGCCCAUCUACUUUUCCUAUUUUCAUCUUUUCCAUAGCCUUCUUUAUCUCAAAUACUCUAAUUUUAUUAUAUGUAUAGUUAAUAUUUCUAACCUCAAUGGAACUAGUAAGGCAUCAUAAAUCGUCUACUUGUCUUUCAUUGAAUAGCUUGUCAAAAUAGUUUCUCCAUCUUUCUUUGAUCUCAUCUUUCUCAACUAAAACUUCUUGAUGUUCAUCUUUGAUGUAUUUAACUUAAGUCAAGUCUCUAGUUUUCUUUUCUCCUAGUCUUGCAAUCAUAUAGAUAUUUUUUCCCUUUCCUUAGUUUCUCACUUGUGAAAUAACUUUCCAUACGUCUUGAAUAUAGUCAGUGAAACCUGUUGCCGGAGCCGGAGAUUAAGGAAAGAGAGUGCAAGCGGGGGAGGGAGGGAGUGGGAGAGGGUAGAAGGCCGGCGGAGGGUGGUGGACGCUGGAGGGCCGACGGAGGCCGCGAGAGCGAGGCUGUAGCCGGUUUCCUCUCCCUCCCUCUAUCCCCCUUCUCUCUCUCUUUUCCUCUCUCCCAUGGUCUGCGGAGGGUGGUAGAACCGUUCGAUUUGAGCUUCGUACCGGUGUGAACUGGCUCGGUUCGCACCGGCAUGAGUUCGAACCGGUGCGAACCGAGCAUGGAUCGCACCGGUUCGUUGCUGAAAAUUAGUGCUAGAAGUGCCACAGCGCUGGCCAGAGGGGGUCGAAACCAGGCACCGGUACGGUAUCGGUUCGGCUCGGUUCGGCACCGGUACCGUACCGUUAUCGAAGCCGACCGGUACGUCGGUACGAUCGGUACCGCGAACCUUACUGUGACAACUUCAUGAAUGUUCUCAAGCUCUUGUGUUAGACAUAGUACAGAAUUUAAGUUUGCUAGCAACGUUCACUGUUUUGGUACCAAACUCCGUACCGGUAUCAUUCUAUUACAGUAUCGGUACAUAGUACGGUACGAGACGAUGAGGCAUAUUGAGUGUCAGAAUGAUACGAGAUUGCGUACAUAGUGCGGAGAAGUCGUGUUCGGGCCGGUUCAGCGCAUACCGUACCGGUACCAACCCCAACUGGUAUGAUUCGGCUGUGUACCAGUGCGGACUGGCCCGGUUCGCACCGGCCCAAACAUGACUUCUUCGCACGGUCGUACGCAGGGCAGCGCGCCCUGCGUGGGCCAUUUAAUGCCACUAUGUGGCAUUUAACGCGUCCGUGCGUGGACGCGCGCGAACGCGUUGUUUUUUCGCGCUGCUUUAUUUUUUUCGCAUUCGCGCGCAGACGCCCGAGCAGGAAUCGCACGCCUAGCUCGCGCACACGCGCGAUUCUUCGCGUAGGAAACCGCGCUUGCAGCUGGUUUCCUAGCAAGGAAUCAUGUCCACGCGGGGCAGCGCACCCGCGCAGCCCGUAUGGGCCAUUUAAUGCCACAGAGUGGCAUUUAACGCGUCCGCACACGAACGCGAGUGGACGCAUUUUUUUGCGUUCGCGCGUGAACGCGUGUAGUUUUUUUCGCAUCCGCACGCCGUGUCCGCGCGCGCGUCUCCAGUUCGAUAUUGGACCGAUACCGAACCGGUACCAUAACAGUACUAGUGCCUACCGGUACGUCGGUACCGUCGCUCCGGCGAACCUUGAUACCAGUGCAGUAUGGUAUGCGCGGUAUGGCAAAUCUUAAUGUGGUACAGCAAAUCUUGAUUGCUAGCUUUUGUUGCUUGUAAUACUUUGAUCCUUAUGCAAAUAAAAAAGCAAAAUCUUACUUGUAUACAAGGUAGUCACAAGGAUCUUUCUUGUUUUCUAAAUCAUAAGCAUGUUAAAUGGAUGAAGCUGCUAAAAUGUAGCACCUUUUAAAAAAUAUAGAUCGUUGAAUUUAAGAAGUGGAUGCAUGUGUUUGUGAAGACAGUUCUUGAUUGAAAUCUACAUUCCUGUCUGUAAUGAAGCUGACCUUUUAGUUAUUUCUGAAAAGGAUUGUAGAUAUCUAAUUACUUGAUUCAACACAUCAUGUUUACAGAGUCCAAGCUCGUGAAUGGCUUCAUUCAUAAGAUUGAACCUUUUUUCCUAAAUCAAAUAAUAAUUUUUGUAAAAUCAUUGUUGGUGAUUUGGCAUGCGGCUUUGAAAUCAAACUUAUUGUGCAAUGCCCCAGAAAAUACAUAUGAUAGCAAAAAAAUAAACUUAGAAAGUAGUAGCAUACAACAUCAAACCUAAAUUAUAUUUUUCAAGGUUUUUAGUCUUAGAGGUCAGGUCGAGAUGUUGCACCCCCAUACCAGCACAUGGUACACUACUGGAGGCAACAUAACAGUUGCACAUGUGUUGAGAUACUAUCGUAUUGAGUCCCUCUAAUGUACCAAUACAUUAUUGGGUCAGUAUGAUGCCCAGUACCAAGUGGGUUCAAAAAAACUUAUUUUUUUAUUAAUAAAUAAUUGUUGGUUGCACAUAUAUAUGUAAGGGCAAGAGAGACUUUCUAUAGGUGUAGAAUACAAAAUUACAAAUGAUGCAUGGUCAUAGACAUAAAGAAUUUUCAGAAGAGAAAAUUUGAGAAAGCAUAUUUCUUAUAGAAUAUCAAUACUCUAAUUUAUACUUCAAAAUAUUAAUAUAUUAAAUUGAGAUUUUAUUCAAAUAUUUAUGAACUGCUCAUACUACACUUUGAUGCUGGCUUUAAGGAAUAUUUCUUGUAGAAUUUAACUUUUUUUCAUUUUUAUAUUGUUAAUUACUAGUACCUAAAGAACUAAAUUAUGUGCUCUGUUCUUUCUAGUUGUGGCAAAGGGAGGCAGAAAGCUUAAGGGAGCAGCUGCAUAACUUACAAGAAAAUCAUCGGUACCAUCUCUUAACCUCGUUCACAUUCAAAGAUUGUUCCUAUGCCUGACUAGCCAUUGGCACUAUUCCCUUAGACAUCAUACCAUAAAGAAAAGAUUUAACUAUAUAACCAUCUAUUUUGUUAGAAAAAUAGUGUUAUUCAACAUGACGUAGACUUUCAAGCUUGUUUGAGUAUAACUAAUUCCCUCAUGGAAAAAUUUAAAAAUUUUCACCCAAUUCCAGGGAUCUAGAGCAUCAAGAUCAUUAGGAAAAUAAUAUGUAAACUAGUGAAAACAUCAAAUUUUGUAAAUGACUAGAAAUGAAGUAUAAAAAGUAUUUCUUAAGACUAAUCACAUGAAGCAACAUUUUCGUUUUUAAACACCACCUUGUCUUGUUGUUUACCAUAUUGUAUGCAUUGAAUAAAUCAUUAAUUGCAUCAUUAGUUAUUGACAAAAGAGCAGGUUACUGAACUUCCAAUAGUAUGUCAAGAUUUAGACAGCAUAAAACAGAUGGUACAUCUAAGGACUUCAUUUCUCACUUCAAUACCCAUGGACAAAGAAUUGGUCCACAAGCCCACAGUUCACAAAAACAGUGACAACUGCUGCUUCCACCAUGGCAACUAACCUGUAACUAUCAACUUCAUAUAAAAUUAUUAUUUGCUUCAAUUAUCAAAUUGAACCUCGGCAUUUUUUAUCCAAACAUAUAGCUUGGGCAGGAGCAAAUGGUGGACAGUGGCUUGAGUGCUUGUGAAAACAGUAAAUGUGCCUAAAAACAACCUAGUAAUAAAAUUCUCUGACAUUGACAAUUUUCCAAUUAUUCUCAAUUAAGGUUUUCCCUAAAUUUUUACUGACUUAAUGAAAUCCAUGCUUGCCAAAUAUAUAGUGCCUUCUAUGAAUAACUUUUUUUUUUUGCAAAUAUUUCAUAGAACAUUUCAUUUCUUUUUCUAAAGUUCUCCACUUGUUUUAUUUUUCUUUUUAUUAUCAUUCAGUCUUCAUUUCUAUUCAUUCACUUUUCAAUCCUCAACAUAUUCCAAAGGUUUUCCAAAAUGUAUAGUAGAUUAUAAAUUUUUUCCUUGAUAAUAUAUUCUUGAAUAACUAUGCCUAAAAAGUAUACAGACACUAAAACAUAUUAGAAGUCAAGAUAAAACAAACGUUUCCUCCUACUAGUAUACUGUGUAAUGCAAGGCUCGCCGUCUUAGUACCAGACCCAUACCGGUGCCAUGCUAGCACUAUUGGUUCGGUGCGGUACGGUACGGGGUGUUGUCGGCAUGCCGAAUGUCGGUAUGCAUCCCGUAUCGUGUACCAAUACUGAACUGGUAUGGUAUGAUAUGCCCCGUACUGCCCUGUUCGGCCAGUACGGCAAACCCAUAAUAAUGUAAUGUAGAAUACUCAAUAAGCUACACAUACUAUUUGAUUUCGCUUAUGGAUCCUUCUUUUUGAAACAUUCUUUUUAUUUUAGUGAUUGUUGUUAUUGAUAUGUAAUAACAGUACCAGAAUUUAAAAUCUAUGACAUUACAUAUUUAUAGAAUGGGAUUAUCACAUUGAUCUAGUAGCUUUAUUACUAUUCCUAAAGUUGUGCCUCACCCCCCAAGAAACCAUGCUUCUAUAUAAAUAAAAAGAACACAGUUCUGACUGGUCUUUUCUGUUAUCUAAUUUUUACGAGUUGAGAAUCAGACUCUAUGACAUCAUGAACUGCUCCAAUUUCAAUGUCUAAAAUUGCAAACCCCCAGAAUGCUAUAGAAUACAUGAUCAUGUGAAACACUGCUUGGAUAGACCAAAUUACCGUGAAGAUUUCUUAGAGUUUCACCAAGGGUGGACUACCAAGAGUGCAAUCAGAAAUCAAUCUUAUUUUGCCUAUAGGAUCUGAGAAUAGCUGUUCUGGAAGAAAGUGAAAGCAAGACUCGGAGAACUGCUUCAGUACUUCAAUUCCAGAGUCUCAGCCUCCCAGCAUAUAAUGCUAAUAGCAGCAGCUGGAACAAUCUUUUGGAUAGGAGCACUGAGAUCCUAAAUACUUUUUUUCAUCUCAGGCAUCGCAAUUUAGGAUUUUGUCCCCAUUUUACUUUGGUGGUAGCUUGGAUAUUAAAAGAGUACAAGGCUUAUACUCAGCCAUACCUUGGUACAAGCUUUAAUAGAUAAUUUCUGGUUGUAUACUUCAUGCAGAGAAUAAGGUUGUUAGAGAAUUCUUUGAUAUGAAUUUCUUACAAAGAAGUCUAUGUGAUGUUCUUGCCAUGGAACAUAAGGGAGCUGAGGUGUCAAUUUUGGACGUCAUAGCCCAAUUACUUAAGAAUUUACAAAAUUGUGAUUUAGAAGGAUCACGAGUUCUAUUGUGGACCAAUUUAGCCACUUGGGGUAGGUCUAGACAAGGUUUGAGAGCAAUAUCCACCACAUCCAGAACUUGAUCGUGAAGUGUAACUUCCGAAGGCCAUAACUUUCUCGUAUGAUCUCCAGUUUCAACAUGUCAUGCGCAAAACAAAGCCCUUGACAAGUACUAUGAGGAUGCAACAAGGUUGUCACACCCCUAUGGGUGUUCUACAAUAUUGGGGCCUCAAAAUGGGCCGAUCAAAGUAAAACAUUUCUUUUAAGAUAAGACUUUGAACAAAAGCAUCUUCUAAUCUGUAAGAAAUUAGGCGAAGGACAAAAGGCAAAGUUGAUGUAGAAGUCGAGAUCUCAUUCCUAGAUGAGUUUUAUCUUAAUAUAAUUGUCACAACCCAGAACCUCACCUAAAAAGACUAGCUGGAAGGUGUUAUUUGGAUUUCAUGGCCUUGUAACAAGCAUCCACAAUCUACCCAGCAUUCUAGCUAGGUAAAUCACCUCCAGCCCACCCAUAUUUUUUAAAAAAUCCAAUAAAUACUUAAUGUUAGGUUAAAAAAAACUUGGGGAUUUAUGAUGCACCUAACAAUAUUUGAUCACUAGGUUUAUGCUCUAUGGCAUAAAUUUAGGACCAAAAUCAAGGAAAUUUGGGUUUCUGGCUUGAACCCCAAAACUCACUCAAAGGAAAAAAAAAGGUUUUAGAGGUAUCUCUAAUUCCAGAUUAUUCUGUCAAAAACAUGCAACAUAAAAACUUCAGCACACAUCAAAAACCAUGGCUAGAGAGUACUUAAAUCAACAUUGUUGCCAUACUUUUCUUAAAAAACAUAGCAUUAAGACAACAAAACAUAAGAAAAAUACAAAAUAGAAUAGUUUCAUAGCAUAAAUAGGCCAUACCAUCUGACCAUGCAAAGCAUAUCAAUCAAUACCCUCUGCUAACAUGAUGUAUCCCAUACCAAACCUUCAUCGAUAUGAGGUUUGAUAUUCGAUAAUUUGCAUCCUAAUAAGAGAAACAAAAAUAUUAAGGGAAACAAAAAGUAAAUAAGUAAAAUGGGUAGAAAAUGGUGAAUGAAGUAGGAUUGCUCAAGAAGGUUUCAGGGUACAUUUGACAGAAAUGAGAAAGAAGACAAUGAUAUGGGAGUCAAUAAGCAAGGUAAAAAGACCUACAACUGGCUGCUACACAAACAAUGUCCUAAUGCAAAAAUGUAGAGGUGAAAAAAAGGAAUAGGUGAAUCUUAGUGUUCUAUGAUAAGAUUAAUAAAGUUUUGGUUCGAUUAAUGUUGGAUUAAGUACAUUACAUGACUAGUUAGAAGAAGAUAUAAAUAAUUAUCUCAAAAGAAAAAUGGAAAAAUAAGAAGAAUCACAUCUAAAGACAAGAUGGCGGCACUGAAAACCUUUUUGGAGGUACUGAAAACCUUUUUGGAAUGUGAUAUAUCUUGUGUCCUUAAACUAGUUAAUGAUGGAAGUACUGAAAACCUCUUUGGAAUGUGAUACAUCUUAUAUCCUUAAACUAAUGGUGGAAUUUGGGUAGGGUAUCACCAUCCUAACAUUCCUAUUAGUUAGACUUGGAUUAAGUACAUUACAUGACUAGUUAGAGAAGAUAUAUAUAAUUAUCUCAAAAGAAAAAUGGAAAAAUGAGAAGAAUCACAUCUAAAGACAAGAUGGUGGUCCUUUUUGGAGGAAUUGAAAACCUUUUUGGAAUGUGAUAUAUCCUUAAACUAGUUAAUGAUGGAAGUACCGAAAACCUUUUUGGAAUGUGAUACAUCUUGUAUCCUUAAACUAGGUAAUGAUGGAAGAACCAAAAACCUUUUUGGAAUGUGAUACAUCAUGUAUCCUUAAACUAAUGGUGGAAUAUGGGUAGGGUACCACCAUCCUAACAUUCCUAUUAGUUAGACUUGGAAUGUGAUACAUCUUGUAUCCUUAAACUAAUGUUGGAGUUUGGAUAGGUACCACCAUCCAUAACAUUCCUGUCAGUUGGAGCUUUUUUAACUGGUUACUCUUAUCCAACACCUAGAAUUCAUGGCAGGAACAUAUAUCCAAGUCGAACAUGUGUUAGACACUUAAAUACUUACCACCUUUUCUUAAUUACAAUUUUCCAAACUUGGUAGGGAACUUGGAAGACUUCGAUGAGUUCAACGCAUGGAAUGCCGUACCGGCCCGUACCGGCCGGUACGGGCCGGUACGUACCGGUCCGGCCGUGGACCGGUACCGGAACGGAUAAAAAACCGGUAUUUCCCGAUUUUUUAUCCGAACCGGCCGGUUCGGGGCCCGUACCGGCCGGUUCGGGGCCCGUACCGGCCGGUUCGGGGCCGUACCGGCCGGUACCGGCCUNNNNNNNNNNNNNNNNNNNNCUAAUAAUAAAAGUGAGAUUUGUUGUUUUUCAAAAUAUUAUUAGAAUGCCUUUGCAAAAUAUUAUUUUUCAAAAUCCUUAAUAUAAUGGGAAGUUUGGGCAAGAAACAUUCAUUUCAAAAGAUCUUGACAAAUAAUAAUAAUAUCUUUCAGUGCUCUAUUUCAUUACAAAAUUUACAUUUUAACAUCUUUUAGUUAAAAAAAUUGUUUUUCCUACACAUCCUUCUCUUUUUUUUCCAUAUUGAUGAGUCGGACAUUAGUAGACGAGUUCAAAUCAGAUUCUGGUGUCCCUUUCCAUUCAACACCAUAAGACACUAAUUAAUCUCGCAUGUGAAUUUGCAUGGUUUAAGUUUUAGAAAAUAUUUUAGAUAUAGGAUAAGUUUUAAAAAGAUUCUAGGCUUUCUAGCAUUGAUUAAGUGCUAAUAUGCCUUCCUCAUAAAAUUGUUUAAGAUUUAUUUCGUAUGUUUUAAGAAUUUUACACCAUAAGACACUAAUCAAUGAUAAGCUUUUAAUUUUUGUUGUGACCAAAGUACUGCUCUGAAUUUGGACUUUAGAGGAUGUGAACGCUUAUUACGUAUAGAAUCAUAGAAAUCUAGGAGUUCACCCCUUGAACUCCUCCUUUGAGUCUAUCAAUGUUAGAAUCCAUUUUUAUAAAGUUUAGCAUGGUUUAAGGGAGAAAUCUAAUUAGAGUUAUGAUGUAAAAUUGGGACACCAGAAUCUAUAGGUCCUUCAACUAUAUGGCUGCUUUUAUCAUACAAUGUUAGUCUAUAACAUUAACCUUUAGGUCCUUCAACUAUAAAAAAAACCUAUAGGUCCUUCGAGCAUACAGAACAUGACAUGCUAACAAUAUUCUUAGUGUUUUUCCACCAUUGUUGAUGCUAACACCCUUUUUUUGUCAUUAAAUAUAGGAAAUGAAAAAUCUUAUAUCAUAGUUUAUACUUGUGAGUUGUGACCACUUCUUAAGGUUAAGCAUACAUAUCAAAUAAAUCACAAUCAUUGAAAUGUCCAAAUCAAGAAUAAUACAAUCACUAGUACGAUAGUGCUUGACAAUAAACAAAUAUUGUAUGCAUCUUCUAUGAAAAAACUAUCUUUUAAAGUUCUACUCUACAACAUGAGAAUAAUUAAUAGUAUAAUUUAGUUAAAAUCAAGGAUUUAAAUACCGUUGGAAUGUUAUGGGAUCAAUAUAGGUUUGGAACACUGGUUCUCACUUGAAUCGGUAUAUACCAAUGAUACCAAUUUGUACCAACAAUCAUAUGUACUGGAAGUUGGUACAUACUGGUUCCAUUUUAUUUUUAUUGAUACAAACCAUUUCAAUCCAUACUGACCAUAUCGGUACCGUAUCGCUCAGGUUCAAAACUGGUGUAAGGCUUGGUAUUGGUCUUUUAAACCCCGGUACAGACCGGUCCAACCUGGAACCGGUAUCCGGACAACAUAGAUACCGGUUCUAGCUGUCUGGGUACCGGUCCAACUGUUUUCGGGCUGGCACUGACCGGCAUGCAUAAGUACUGGCUGCAUACCGGUCUCGUACCGGCCCGAGCCGGUGGCCAGUUCGCACCGGUAUUGUUUUUUUUAACCACAGUGCGCGCGUUGUGGUGUAGGAGCGCGUGGCCCUCCCUCGGGUCAGAGUGCCCCGCGUGCGAUUCUCCCGCGCGCGCUGUAGCCAGCUCUAGCGCGGACGCGGAUGCAAACAAAAAAAAAAAAUUUUCUGCGCGCGUCCGUGAACCAAAAAAAAGUAUAUAAACAAAGACCAGUUCGUACCGGACCGGUUCCGGUACGAAUCGGUCUCGAAUCGGUCCGGUAGGCCAGACUGGUUCAGCGUACCUUGGUUAAAACUAUCUCUUCCCACAUCCCCUAUAUAUCUUUGCUACCUCUUUCCAAAUCAUACAAUUAGGUAUGCAUCAAAAUCUAAUUGCAAUAUCCUUGUCCAUACAAAACUUACAGCCAAUGUUAUUAAUAGUUCUCACCGAGGAUGCUACUUGAUCCUCGAAUAUCAUACUUGUUUCAAACUAAUUUUUAGUACAUCAUAAGGCUUUCUCCGAGUCUAUUAUAUGAUCAAAAGUUUUUGUGGCAAACAAAGGGUCUCAACAUUAUCCACGUGCUAUAGACAUAAGAGAUAACAAAAGAGAUAUAUAGUAAUUAUAUUUAUAAAUGAUUUAUUGUAGCCAUAGUUUGCCAUACCGAUCCGUAUUGCCCGAUACCAAGCAUAUGGAAACAUUUGGUAAGGUAUCAAAACAUGGUAUCAAGAUCCGAUACAGCAUAGAGGCUGAAAAGGCCUAGAUGGAAUGGUUGGUUCCACCCAGUUUCAUGUUGUACCGAUAUAUACUAGCCCAAUUUUGGGUGGUGCCAUGACUGGGCAUAAAAAAAAACUCGGAACCUAUGUCAAUACAAAGGGUGUAGCCGUACUAUACCAGAACUUAUCGUACCUUACUAGUAAGGUAUCAAUAUGACAAACCUUGGUUGUAGAACACUACUCAAAACUAUAAGAUAUAAUUGAUAACAAUGCAUAUAAUGGCUCUCGUAUGAUAGUUUUGUACAAUGCAUAAAACAUCUUUCAUUCACAUCACAUUGGAACCGUAGUGUCAUUACUCUAAAAAAUAAUCAUGGAAACCAAAGAAAGUUUCAUACAGUAGUUUAAACCCCAACUCAAACACCUUGUUUUGGUAGCCAAUUUACACUCACAAUUCAACCACAAAUCAAUCUGCUGAAUCAACCAUUCUUUCUCAAAAUCCUCAAUUUUGUUCUUCCUUAGUGAUCUCAAAAAACCUUAUAUGAAUAUCUAAACCAAGAAAGGCGGAACUGUCCUAAAUGGAAUGGUUCUGCCUGUUCCGAGCUGUACCGGUGGCUUACCAAUACGGUUCCGGCUUUGAAAACAGCUCGUUGACGGCAUCGAAGAAGAAGAGAGAGAGAGCGAGCAGGGGAGGAAAGAAGGAUCGGCGGCGGACGCCAGCGGAGGGUCGCGGGGCGGCGGCGGACGCCGAGGUCGCUACCACGUCCCUUGUUUCAAAAGUGGCCACGGAAAAAAUUUAGAAAUUUUUAAGUAAAGUCGGUAAAUCGGCCUUCGCAGGCCCCUCGCGGCCUCUGCCGACAUCCGUCGCCGCUCCUCCCUCUCUCCCCCGCUCGCUCUCUCUUUCUCUUCUCCUUCUCUGGCUCCGGCAGAUUUUCUUUCUCGGUACGGGCCCAUGACGCCAGACAACCGGUACGGUGCCCGGUACCGACAAAGUAAACCUUGACCCAAAUGACAACAGCAGUGAUGAUUAUGAAGGAGUUUGAACAAAGGUGUGGAGUAAUGAAGGUGAUGGUAAGAUUUUAGCCCAACCUAGUGGUGACAAGCCUGGAAUCAAAUAACCGUUUUAAGUCUUACUGGACCUUGUACCAGUACCUUAUUGGCAUGAGUCAAAUCAGUAUAGUUUAGAGGACAUGAUAUGCUAUUGGAGUUAGCAUAGCUUGUACCAUAACUCAGAAUGGGCCUAUGGGUGGCAUAUUGAACCUUCAUGCCCUAUUGGUACCGCAUCAAGCUGAUGUGAUAUGCCCUAUACUAGCCAGCACUGGUCGGUAUUUAAAACUGUUACAAAUUAGGAUGGAUAAAAGGAAGGGAGAAGAAAACAAGGAGAUGGAGAGGAUGAUGACGAGAUGGAAUAAGAGAAGCAUGAUAGAAUAAAGAAGCUUAAGGCUUUUAACUCUUAAUAUUUUGUGAGGUCCAUGCCUAACCACUGGACUAGAUUAAUUUUAGCAAUUCAGAUGGUUGAAUCUCCCAAUUUAAAAACUCAGAAUAUCUUUUAGGAAAUCCAAGUCCUGACAUGAUGUCAUAGACUUAGACAUAGACUCGUCGCAAGGGGUGCCGGCAUGCGCAUGGCACGAUAUUGCAAAAAGGGUUUGGCAUGGGCCAAAAGUUGCAAUGCUCCUCGAUCAUUUGUAACCCCCGAGGGUGGCCGUUGGGUGGGUGCCUAGUAGGGGUAUCGAGGGGAGCAAUGGUUAGCCAAGGCACGACAGAGCCAUGGCAUGAUAUCGGAUGGCUCGGGAAGCAUGAUAUUUGGCAUGGUGGCGGACUACUAGGAUAUAUAUGGAUACUCAAGAAUUCCACUUGGUUGAGGGGUGCAAAACUUUGUCCGUGUUCCCGACUCCCAAGCCCAUAGGAUAUGGGUCCGCCAUGGCACAAUUGCAGGGCAAGGUAGUGCCAUGCCUGAUGGUCUCGUGUGGAGGCAUUUGGAGCAAUGUUGGUUGGAUGAGCUACACACGUUAUGCGGAGGGGAGUUUCGAGAGGUUGGUCCUUGAGGAAUUUUCCGGACAACCCUGUGCGUUUUUUAUGUCUAUGAUGGGGCGAAGAGGCGAUAAAGGGCUGCUCGAGCAAGGGUGUGGCCUACCUUGACAAGCAAGUCUCAUGAGCAUUACAGGGCGAUGUCUCAUAGGGAUCCAUGGAAGCUAGUCGACCGUGGAGUACAAAUGUUGACUUAUGGAAUAUCAAUCGGAUUAUGUGUCUUAAUGUUGGGCCAAGGAUCAAGGACGGCCAAAAGGGUUGUGCCAAGGAGAGGACAACUAAAUGCAAUGAUUGGUCGGUCGAAUAUAUUUACUUGAUGGGCGGACUUGGGUGCUAAUAUCAUGGUAGUGCACGAUGUACGAGCAGGCCAUGAACAUUGUCAGACAAUAUGGCCAUGGAUGGGGAAGGCAUGCUGAGGAUGCAAGACUAGGAUUGUGGCAUAAGAGCUUAUUGGGGAGCUUGGAUAGCAAAACCCUGAAGGGCUUGGACAUGCACAAUCAACCAUAGCUUUGAGGGGUUGCAGGGCAUGUCAGCUUGGUGUUUUGACUGAGCUUGAGCCUUAUGCAUAGUAGUGGUGUUGAAUGGUUGUGUCAUGUGAAUUUGGUUUGUGUAUGCCCAAAGGGCAGCAUGGUGGCUUACGGAUCGGUGGCACAGGUUAUGUUGUGGCACGAAAACACUCUAAGAAUCAAGACAUCCUGGGUGAGCAGUACUUGGCUUGUGGGGCAAAAAGCCAUAAAGCUAACAUGGAGGUGCCGAGUUGUAGAGCACUAUUGGAAAGUGUCUAUACUUUGGCAUUGAGGUGCACAAGUGUUGCCAUCGACCCGAGGGGUCAGGUUGCAUGCUUGGCUAUGUAGCUAAACUGUUGCACAUUUAUAUGUAUGCCCGAGGGAAGGACUUGGGAGGGCUAGCCUUGGUGUGUGGCAUGUCAAUGUGCCACAUGGGUGUUUGGAUCAGGAAAACACCCACCCCAUGACAAUGUGCCAACCUACAUACAUUAUUGGGUGGCAAGAUGAGCGCAUCAAGUUGUAUGGAUCAAACAUGUUGUGAAACAAUAGUUUCAUAUACGAUCUCUCCCACAAAACCAUUAAACUCCACCUUAACAAGCAAAAGCAAUGUACAUACACGGGAAUGUACGUCUCUGGUGGAGGGUAACUCAGCCUACAUUUGUUUAAUGUCAUCAAACUACCUCUUAUGCUACUUUAUCAUGAAAUCCAUUUGAAAGCCCACAAAAACCAUGAACAAAUCUUACAGGUGAAUAGGUGUCACUAGUUAAUAUCACACUAUGUGCAACAAGUUGAUUAUUACACUAUUAAAUAAGCUGAUGAUAUAGCAUAUUCAAAAUUUAGUCAAUGCUUGCAGGAAAUUGAUGGGUGAACAGUUGUCUGGCUUAAGUGUCAAAGAUCUACAAAAUCUAGAAAUCCAACUUGAAAUGAGUCUACGCAGUGUCAGAAAGAAGAAGGUUACCCUCAUCAAAUGUUGCUCCUCAAUCCUUCUUAUCCGUAUCUUCUCUACUUAAUGUGUUUCUUUUCUCUGCUAUAGGAACAAAUUCUAACCGAUCAAAUUCAAGAAUUGAACCGAAAGGUUUAUCAAUAGUUAGUUAAAUCAUCUUUAAUGUUGAAAGUAUUGCAUUUUAAGUGCCUAAAUUUCUAGAAUUUAUUACAGGGGUACCUUAUUCACAAUGAAAACAUUGAACUCUACAGGAAGGUAAACCUCAUACGUCAAGAAAACAUGGAGUUACGUAAGAAGGUACUAAGUUUGAGACAGAGAUAUCUAUUUUGCUCUUUGAUCCAAACUCCUGAAUGGAGCAUUCAUGAAGCUUGUCUUCAUGUUUCUGCGGCCACAUGCAUUGCACAUUUCAUGCUCUAUGUAAAAUAUGUAUGGAUUUCAUCUAAAACUAGAUUAAAUCAAUCCCAAGGUUUUAAGUGCUGCUAAUGCUGGUUUGGCCACCAUAUUGGGCCAAUAUUAACUAUAGCAUUGGGUCAAAUCAGGACUCAUCAGAUCUUUUUUUGACAUUUUUUUGUUUCGACAAAGUCAAAAAAAAAUUUGAUUUUUAAGUCCUUUAAUAUUUUUUGGUUGAAGCAUACAAGUGCAUUAGCACAGCAUAGCACGUAUAGUGCUUGUCACUAGUUACUAUGCCCAAUGCCAACAAUAUUUAAAACCAAGAUUCGCUGUCUCGGUACCAAAAUCCGUACCAAUGCCAUACUAGCAUUGUGUCAGUACGGUACGGGGUUCUCUUUUGGCAUACCAAGUGUCAAUACACCAUCCGUACUGGGUACCAGUACUAAACUGGCACGGUAUACUCCAUACUGCCCAGUUCGGGCCGAUAUGGCGAACAAUAUUUAAAACCUUGUUCAGUCCUUGAAAACAUAACAGUUGUUUUUAUAACAUGCUAAGCGUGGAAUUAGCAUUGCAGAUAUACGCAACAAAUGAGUUAAAUGGAGGAACUAGUAAGGAUACAAGUAAUCCAUAUGGUUUGUCUGUGAUUGAGAAUUCACAUGUAGAUGUACCUAUUCAUCUUGAGCUAUGUCAACCUCAACAGCAAACAGAUGGACCACGAGCAACAACACCGAAGCUAGGGUAAUUAUUUUGAAACAUCAAACCUUUUUAUUUUUUCAAUAUUUAUUAGUUUUACUUUAAUAUACUUAAUUAGCCCUUGCUACAGACUUCAACUGCGUUAAGAAGAUGACCGGAGAUCAAAGUGUAUCGUCUAUAGUGCGCAUCAACCCAGUUGUCAAGGUUGCUAUAGUUUGUUAUCAGCUAUAACAUACAAUGUAUGAGCAAGAGCAGGAACAAUACUCAGCAGUCAUUUAAAUGUGGUGUGGCAUGAUCCAAAAAAAAUCAUUACUCUGUAAAGCAAUCUUCCAACUAGGACUAUUAAUAAUAUGACAGGUAUUUCUGUUUAAGAACAUUACUUGUACAUGGAGACAUGUCCUUCCAUAGCAUCCGAAUGGUUGCUGAUAACAUCUAC
RNAcentral lists this long non-coding RNA (22060 nucleotides) under Phoenix dactylifera (date palm). Its description in RNAcentral is "long non-coding RNA (PDAC_LNC000063)". The record is from RNAcentral. Lineage: Eukaryota; Viridiplantae; Streptophyta; Magnoliopsida; Arecales; Arecaceae.